CGCGUAGGCGGUUUGGAUAGUCAGGCGUGAAAUUCCCGGGCUUAACCUGGGGGCUGCGCUUGAUACAUCCAGGCUUGAGUGAGGAAGAGGGUCGUGGAAUUCCCAGUGUAGAGGUGAAAUUCGUAGAUAUUGGGAAGAACACCGGUGGCGAAGGCGGCGACCUGGUCCUUUACUGACGCUGAGGCGCGAAAGCGUGGGGAGCAAACAGGAUUAGAUACCCUGGUAGUCCACGCCGUAAACGAUGUGUGCUGGAUGUUGGGUGACCUAGUCACGCAGUGUCGUAGCUAACGCGGUAAGCACACCGCCUGGGGAGUACGGCCGCAAGGUUGAA
This 331-nucleotide ribosomal RNA is filed under the name uncultured bacterium. RNAcentral describes it as "bacterial SSU rRNA". It matches the Rfam family "Bacterial small subunit ribosomal RNA", at positions 568 to 898 of the family's 1533-position model. The record is from RNAcentral.